RNAcentral lists this long non-coding RNA (331 nucleotides) under Rosa chinensis. RNAcentral describes it as "sRNA RchiOBHm_Chr2g0099001". The record is from RNAcentral. Lineage: Eukaryota; Viridiplantae; Streptophyta; Magnoliopsida; Rosales; Rosaceae.
UAUUGUCUAGUAUGUGGAAGGGUGCCAAUUUUCCUGUUGGUAUAUUGUCUCUUCCAAUUUGAUGGUCAGGGCUAGCUGCAGAAGAUUUGGUGGCUAGGUGACCUUGGAGUUCUUCAAACUGGAAUACCAAUAGGAAAACGUGAUAUAUAUGUUGCUGCAGCUGGUAUUAAUUCACAGAGUCAUUGGGAGUUCAAGCGGAAUACCAAGCAAUGCAGCAAAUUAUAUUAUCUUUCAUCAUCUAAAACUUAGCUAGAAAACUUGAAAUGUAUGAAUGCGUUAACAAUGUUCCUUAAAUUCAAUGUUUGAUGAAUUGAUGUAUCACAAUACUUUU